Mycena vulgaris is the source of this 86-nucleotide non-coding RNA. Lineage: Eukaryota; Fungi; Basidiomycota; Agaricomycetes; Agaricales; Mycenaceae. The record is from the annotation of a GenBank genome assembly.
GGCCGCCUGGCGAAAUGGCAUCGCGUCUGACUACGAUUUGUAAUGAUGUUAUCAGGAGAUUGCAGGUUCGACCCCUGCGGUGGUCA